Molecule: small nucleolar RNA, 133 nt
Organism: Panicum hallii
Lineage: Eukaryota; Viridiplantae; Streptophyta; Magnoliopsida; Poales; Poaceae
Product: small nucleolar RNA Z247
Exons: 1
Source: RefSeq, a predicted model, not a curated record
AAGAUAGAAGAUGAUGACCUCAUUGGAUACAUCUUGAACGGAUUAGAUUCAGAAUAUAAUCCGUUUGUCUCUUCAGUCUCCAUCAAGGACACCUUGACACUCAGCGAUGUCUAUGCACAAUUGUUGUCCUAUG